RNAcentral lists this ribosomal RNA (433 nucleotides) under uncultured bacterium. RNAcentral's name for it is "partial 16S ribosomal RNA". It matches the Rfam family "Bacterial small subunit ribosomal RNA", at positions 29 to 507 of the family's 1533-position model. The record is from RNAcentral.
AACGAACGCUGGCGGCAUGCCUAACACAUGCAAGUCGAACGAGACCUUCUGGUCUAGUGGCGCACGGGUGCGUAACGCGUGGGAACCUGCCCUUAGGUUCGUAAUAACUCCCCGAAAGGGGUUCUAAUACCGUAUAAUGUCUUCGGACCAAAGAUUUAUCGCCUUUGGAUGGGCCCGCGUUGGAUUAGCUAGUUGGUAGGGUAAAAGCCUACCAAGGCGACGAUCCAUAGCUGGUCUGAGAGGAUGAUCAGCCACACUGGGACUGAGACACGGCCCAGACUCCUACGGGAGGCAGCAGUGGGGAAUAUUGGACAAUGGGCGAAAACCUGAUCCAGCAAUGCCGCGUGAGUGAUGAAGGCCUUAGGGUUGUAAAGCUCUUUUACACGGGAUGAGAAUGACAGUACCGGGAGAAUAAGCUCCGGCUAACUCCGUG